UAUUGAUAGAGGCGCGUAUAGCUAUCAGUAGCCGCUUUUAAUUUUUUUGACUCGCAGGUCACGAGCGGUAAAAGGAGCAUACGCCGAAGCAAAGGGCUAAUGCGAAGUGGUUUUUUGCUGGUUUUGCGGAAUAAUAUCCGUACGACUGUCGCCGUUUAUGGCGGAGGGCUAUCUGA
This 176-nucleotide non-coding RNA is filed under the name human gut metagenome. Its description in RNAcentral is "Lysine riboswitch". It matches the Rfam family "Lysine riboswitch aptamer". From Rfam's summary of the family: Riboswitches are metabolite binding domains within certain messenger RNAs that serve as precision sensors for their corresponding targets. Allosteric rearrangement of mRNA structure is mediated by ligand binding, and this results in modulation of gene expression. This family includes riboswitches that sense lysine in a number of genes involved in lysine metabolism, including lysC. The record is from RNAcentral.